This 406-nucleotide ribosomal RNA is filed under the name uncultured bacterium. RNAcentral's name for it is "bacterial SSU rRNA". It matches the Rfam family "Bacterial small subunit ribosomal RNA", at positions 355 to 775 of the family's 1533-position model. The record is from RNAcentral.
UCGAGAAUUUUUCACAAUGGGGGAAACCCUGAUGGAGCGACGCCGCGUGGAGGAUGAAGGCCUUCGGGUUGUAAACUCCUGUCAUGCGGGAACAAGCAAGUGAUAGUACCGCAAGAGGAAGAGACGGCUAACUCUGUGCCAGCAGCCGCGGUAAUACAGAGGUCUCAAGCGUUGUUCGGAUUCAUUGGGCGUAAAGGGUGCGUAGGUGGUGAUGCAAGUCUGGUGUGAAAUCUCGGAGCUCAACUCCGAAAUUGCACCGGAUACUGCGUGACUCGAGGACUGUAGAGGAGAUCGGAAUUCACGGUGUAGCAGUGAAAUGCGUAGAUAUCGUGAGGAAGACCAGUUGCGAAGGCGGAUCUCUGGGCAGUUCCUGACACUGAGGCACGAAGGCCAGGGGAGCAAACGG